Molecule: ribosomal RNA, 426 nt
Filed under: Triticum aestivum (bread wheat)
Lineage: Eukaryota; Viridiplantae; Streptophyta; Magnoliopsida; Poales; Poaceae
Description: partial small subunit ribosomal RNA
Source: RNAcentral
AUGGCGGAGGAACCGUCUACCAAGCGUCACCAUGGCGAGACGUCGAACAAGAGCAGCAACCUCGUCGACAUUCACGUCCCCGGCGAGAAGCGCGAGUACACCAGAACGCUCAAAGGGGUUGAGCUCCACGGCAAGGAGACGCCAGAGAUCGUCUGCACUAGCAUACCAUACAAGGCCGACGAGGCGAUGAGAAGGCUCAGGAUGAAGGGCGGCGGCUUGUAUCCGAGCUUCGUCGGAGUUGAUGUGGAGUACACCAACCAAGAAGAACCUCCACAGAUGGCGGCAGUCCUGCAGUUGUGUGUCGAGGAACUCUGCUUGGUAUACCACAUCGCAGCAGCCACAAAAUGGCCCAAGCGCCUCAAAGACUUCCUGCAGGAGGAGACAUUGUACACAUUUGUCGGUUUCAGCAUUGGAGGUGACAAGUAG